UUAUUAUUAUCGUUAUAAUUAUCGGUGUUAUUCUCAUAAUUAUAAUACAGCAGGUACUAUUGAUCCGAUCAGAGUUUCGUCUGCACAAUUAUACACGGCAACGGGCAGAUCAUAUACCGACAAGUUUGGGACUUAUCAGAGCUAAGCCUCUAUUGUACAUUAUUGGCCACUGUUGAUAUAGUUACGAAUUAUUUUCAAGUCGUAUGUUUUAGAAAAUUGCAUUUUGUUACAUGUAUUAUUAUUACUAUUAUACUUAUUAUUAUUAUUGUUAUUAUUGCUCUUAUUAUUACAAUUAAUGUUAUUAUUAUUUGUACCACGGCCUAAAUAUUAAUAUACCCAUUCGCCAUGCAAAGUAACAUGCGUGAGGAGGGUUUUUUUCGAUCGCGGGGAUUAAUUAUAUAUAAGAAAUCGUAAAAUUCGUAUAGUGUAUAUACCUAUAUACCUAUUACCGAAUGGCUUUUCAUAUAUACAUACGCAUAGGGUUAUGCAUAUAUAUAUAUGUAUAUUAAAUUUUCUCCGCACUUUCAUAACAUUGAUUAAUGAAUUGAAUCAGUCUCAGUGAUUGAAAUAUUCAUUGUAACUUAUAGUACACACACACACACACACACACACACACACACAGAAUUAUAUGAUUGCUCAGAAACGGAUAUCUUUAUGGAUUAAUUCUUAAUCGUUACAAACAGGAAGUGAAAGAAAAGGAAUGAAUUCAUAGUAUAUUAUUAUUAUAUAAUUGAAUAUUAUACAUAUGUAUAUGUAUGCUACUUAGGAUAUAGUAUUAACAUACAAUUCAAUGCUAUUAAACGAUUUCGUCUCAA
Molecule: long non-coding RNA, 815 nt
Filed under: Neodiprion lecontei (redheaded pine sawfly)
Lineage: Eukaryota; Metazoa; Arthropoda; Insecta; Hymenoptera; Diprionidae
Description: uncharacterized LOC124294842
Source: RNAcentral